RNAcentral lists this ribosomal RNA (552 nucleotides) under Kodormus bruneosus. RNAcentral's name for it is "partial 16S ribosomal RNA". It matches the Rfam family "Bacterial large subunit ribosomal RNA", at positions 1797 to 2621 of the family's 2925-position model. Lineage: Eukaryota; Metazoa; Arthropoda; Insecta; Hemiptera; Reduviidae. The record is from RNAcentral.
CGCCUGUUUAUCAAAAACAUGUCCUUUUGGUGUUUAUAUAAGGUUUGGCCUGCCCCAUGAUUUGAUUUUAAUGGCCGCGGUAUUUUAACUGUGCUAAGGUAGCAUAAUCACUUGUCUUUUAAUUGGAGGCUAGAAUGAAGGGUUGGACGAGAUAUUAACUUUCUUUGGUUUAUUUAUUGAAUUUGAUUUUUGAGUGAAAAAGCUCAAGUUUUUUUAGGGGACGAGAAGACCCUAUAGAUCUUUACAUUUAUUUAAUUAUAGUUUUUAGAAAUAAAUGACUGAUUAUAAUUGAUAGGGUGUUUGAUUGGGGCGAUUGUAGAAUUAUUAUAACUUCUAAUUUAAGUUUCAUUAAUUAGUGUUUAAUUGAUCCAUUUAUGGUGAUUAUAAGACUAAGUUACCUUAGGGAUAACAGCGUAAUUUUUCCGGGGAGUUCAUAUUAAUGGAAGAGUUUGCGACCUCGAUGUUGGAUUAAAAUAAGUUCUGGGUGUAGCAGUUUAUGGACUAGGUCUGUUCGACCUUUUAAUUUUUACAUGAUCUGAGUUCAAACCGGAG